UAGGGAAUCUUCCGCAAUGGACGCAAGUCUGACGGAGCAACGCCGCGUGAGUGAAGAAGGAUUUCGGUUCGUAAAACUCUGUUGUUAGAGAAGAACAGCGCAUAGAGUAACUGUUAUGCGUGUGACGGUAUCUAACCAGAAAGCCACGGCUAACUACGUGCCAGCAGCCGCGGUAAUACGUAGGUGGCAAGCGUUGUCCGGAUUUAUUGGGCGUAAAGCGAGCGCAGGCGGUCAAUUAAGUCUGAUGUGAAAGCCCCCGGCUCAACCGGGGAGGGUCAUUGGAAACUGGGUGACUUGAGUGCAGAAGGGGAGAGUGGAAUUCCAUGUGUAGCGGUGAAAUGCGUAGAUAUAUGGAGGAACACCGGUGGCGAAAGCGGCUCUCUGGUCUGUAACUGACGCUGAGGCUCGAAAGCGUGGGGAGCGAACAGG
This 429-nucleotide ribosomal RNA is filed under the name Bacteroidota bacterium. RNAcentral's name for it is "Bacteroidetes bacterium partial 16S ribosomal RNA". It matches the Rfam family "Bacterial small subunit ribosomal RNA", at positions 355 to 776 of the family's 1533-position model. The record is from RNAcentral. Lineage: Bacteria; Pseudomonadati; Bacteroidota.